UACGUAGGGAGCAAGCGUUGUCCGGAAUCAUUGGGCGUAAAGCGCGCGUAGGUGGCCUCGUAAGUCCGCUGUGAAAGUCAAAGGCUCAACCUUUGAAAGCCGGUGGAUACUGUGAGGCUAGAGUACGGAAGAGGCGAGUGGAAUUCCUGGUGUAGCGGUGGAAUGCGCAGAUAUCAGGAGGAACACCGGUGGCGAAGGCGGAUCUCUGGGCCUUACCUGACGCUGAGGCGCGAAAGCUAGGGGAGCAAACAGG
Molecule: ribosomal RNA, 253 nt
Filed under: uncultured bacterium
Lineage: Bacteria
Description: partial 16S ribosomal RNA
Rfam family: Bacterial small subunit ribosomal RNA
Source: RNAcentral